This 263-nucleotide ribosomal RNA is filed under the name Oospira sp. 3 TM-2021. RNAcentral describes it as "partial 16S ribosomal RNA". The record is from RNAcentral. Lineage: Eukaryota; Metazoa; Mollusca; Gastropoda; Stylommatophora; Clausiliidae.
CUGUCUCUAAUUUGCAAUAGCGAAAUUACUUAUAGGGUGAAAAUACCCUAAAAUAAAAACAUAAGACGAGAAGACCCUUAGAGUUAUGAUAACAAGGGGAGCUCUUCCUGCUAAAAUUUUUGUUGGGGCAACAUAGUUACAUACUAUUUAAUUAACUAUUAAUUCAACUUAACAGGCCGAGAAAACUUCUAUGAAAAAAUUAACUACCUAAGGGAUAACAGCAUAAUUUUAUUAUUUAGAUUGUGACCUCGAUGUUGGAUUAG